UGGUGUCCUUCACAGCUGCUUC
RNAcentral lists this non-coding RNA (22 nucleotides) under Mus musculus (house mouse). Lineage: Eukaryota; Metazoa; Chordata; Mammalia; Rodentia; Muridae. The record is from RNAcentral.